Molecule: non-coding RNA, 3246 nt
Organism: Podarcis lilfordi (Lilford's wall lizard)
Lineage: Eukaryota; Metazoa; Chordata; Lepidosauria; Squamata; Lacertidae
Source: the annotation of a GenBank genome assembly
GAAACAGUGGGAUUUUCCACUUGCAAGUCUUUCCUGUGAGAACGACCUUGAGGAUAUGAGUGGUCCAGCAGAAGAGAUAACAACUAGAUCCAAAGCAAAACAGACACAAAAGAAAAGGGGCUCAAUAUCUGGCAUACCACCAGCUGCACAGGAAAAAGUGGCAACAGCAUCUAUGGAUUCAAUGACACAGGCACUGCUCAAAAUAAACCAAUCUUUAGAAGCACUGACAAAGCUAUCUACGGAAAAUUCAAAAAAAUUGACAGAACUGACAGCAAGAUUGGACUUGAAUACUGCAAGUGUAACAUCUAAUACAGAAUCUAUUAAUAAAUUAAUUCAAGAAAGUUCUGAAACACGAAAGAUUGCUGAAAGUGCAAAAAAUACUGCAGAGGAGACAAGGGAGGAGCUUGUGCCGAUUACAAAAAAAGUGAAUGAACAUGAUGCAGCCCUAUCUUUGCUGGAAUUACAGAGAAAAGAGAGAAAUCUGAAAUUGAGAUUGGUACCCGAGAGUGAGGGAGAUAGCCUUGUGGACUUCCUUACACAGAACUUUAUGGAAUUUUGGCAAAAGGAGCUGCAGGAAGAAGACCUUGAAAUAACAACAGCUUUUCGGCUGGGCAGGAGGCAAGGUAAGAAGCCAAGGGAUUGUUUGAUUACAUUGAGAUCCAAAGGAGAAAGAGAUAAAAUAUUGAACUUGCAUUACCAAAAGGCAUUGGAGAUUGAAAAUAGUCAAGUACAAAUUUUUAAAGAUAUCCCUAAAUAUAUUUUGGAGGUGAGAGCCUUCUAUAAAGAUUUGGUCUACCUGCUGAAGAAAAAUAUCAUACCCUUCAGGUGGGAGUUUCCACAAGGAUUGUCUUUUACUUUCAAAGGAAGGAAGGUCAAAAUAAGAACAGUUCAAGAUAAAGAACAGUUUUUGGAGAGAUAUCAGGAGGACUUGCAGAAAGGAACAGUAGAAACAACAAUACAAGAAAAAGGAGUGACAGACAUUGCAAACUUGUCAUUUGGACUCAUACCACCAUCUGUAGAUGAACAAAAGUUAGGAGCAGUCGGUGGAACAGGUACCUAAAUAACAAAAUGUCUCUGCAGCUUCUUAGUUGGAAUUGUAAUGGUUUGAACCUUCCCCGAAAAAGACGUCAAGUUUUUCAUAUUUUGAAAAGAGAACAAUUAGACCUAAUAUGUCUACAAGAGACCCAUGUGACCAGGACACAUAGGAAAUUAUUGGUAAAUAAGAGACUUGGACAGGAAUUUAUUUCAUCAGACAAAGUUAAGAAAAGAGGCGUGGUGAUCUAUGCAAAAGAAAAAUUGGCCCCAAAGAUGAUAUUUAAAGAUGAACAAGGAAGAUACCUGGCAAUUGAAAUACAAGUUCAAGGAGAAAAAAUCUUGAUAGUCGGAAUUUAUGCACCAAAUGACGGGAAGGCGGAAUUCUUUAAGAAGCUGCAUGAGACUUUAAUGGACUAUUUAGACUAUAGAGUAGUAAUGAUGGGAGACAUGAAUGGUGUAGUUUCCACAAAUAUGGACAAAGCACAAAGACAAGUAAUUUCCAAGGAAGGAGACUACCAAAGACUUUUUUGAAAUGACUGAAACUAUGGACUUGAUUGACAUUUGGAGAACAAGGAACCCUCUUGAGAGAGAGGGAACUUUUUCUCUGAAGCAAAAAUGACAUGGACAAGAAUUGACCAAAUUUGGGUAACUAGCAGUAUGGCGCCAAGGAUCAAAAAGGUAGAAAUCUGCUCAAAGACUUGCUCCGACCAUAAUGCUGUAAAGAUGGAGAUGAAACUAGCAUCAACUGGAUCCUUUAGAUGGAGAAUGAAUGACACCCUAUUUAGAGAUGAAGAGAUUUAUAAGAAGGCCCAAAAAACACUGAAAGAUUACUUUGAGAUAAAUUUGAGAACAGAAGUGGAAAAAAGAAUAAUCUGGGACGCAAGUAAGGCCGUGAUGCGAGGUUUUCUAAUACAACAGAACUCCAUAAAGAGGAAAAAUCAAAAUGAAAGGAAAGAAAAAAUUCUGGAAAAAAUAAAAGAAGGUGAAAAGAAAUUGAGGUCUAAACCAAAGUCCCAUGAGAUUCUGAGAGAAAUAAAGCACUAUCAGGUGCAAUAUAUGGAAUUGAUGAACCAAGAGAUAGAAUGGAAAAUAAAGCAAAUGAGACAAAAGACAUUUGAAUCAGCAGAUAAAUGUGGGAAAUUUCUGUCAUGGCAAUUGAAAAAGAGGCAAAAACUGAACACUGUGACAAGUUUAGAAGUGGAUGGAAAAAUUAUCCACAAACCAAACGAGAUAAGUAAUUGUUUUCAAAGUUACUUCAGGAAAUUAUAUGCACAAGGGCCAGUUAACGAACAGGAAAUAGAAGAAUUUGUUAAGAAACAUGGAUUACCAAAAAUUUCAGAGCAAAGCAGAAGGAUUUUGAAUGAGAAAAUAACAGGACAAGAAAUAGAGGGUGCCAUUCAGAAGAUGCAAUUGGGAAAAUCUCCAGGACCAGAUGGUUUGACCGCCAGAUAUUAUAAAGCGUUGAAGGAAUGGCUAGUACAACCACUGAAGGAAGUAUGCAAUGAAAUUUUGGAGGGGAAAAAGGCACCAGAGUCGUGGAAAGAAGCCUUUAUUUCACUUAUACCGAAAACUGAAACUGAAAAGAACCAGGUUAAAAACUACCGCCCUAUAUCAUUACUCAAUGUGGAUUACAAAAUUUUUGCAGACAUUAUGGCAAAAAGACUGAAGAGAGUGUUGGUAGGGGAGAUUCAUAAGGACCAAACUGGCUUUCUUCCAGGGAGACAUAUGUCGGACAAUGUGAGGAACAUUAUAGACAUUUUGGAACUGUUAGAAGUGGACAUCAAUAGGAAGGCUGUUUUAAUUUUUGUGGACGCGGAGAAAGCCUUUGAUAAUAUUGGUUGGAGCUUUAUGAAGAAGAAUCUCCAAGGGAUGGGGGUAGGUCAAGGGUUUGAAAACGGUAUAGGUGCAAUAUAUUCUAAACAAAAAGCAAAGUUAAUUGUAAACAAUGUGGUCACGGAAGAAAUAUCUAUAGAAAAAGGUACACGACAGGGGUGCCCAAUAUCCCCUUUACUUUUUAUAUUAGUCCUGGAGGUUUUGUUAAACAUGAUUAGAGGAGACCAGUUGGUUAAAGGAGUACAAGUCGGAGCUAGACAUUACAAGCUAAGGGCAUUUGCAGAUGAUCUAGUACUGACCUUGCAACAGCCAGAUACUAGUACUAAAAGAGUAUUAGAACUAAUUGAGAUAUUUGGUCAAGUAGCAGGAUUUAAACUG